AGAAAAAGAAGUUGCUCCCCACCUACCUCCUCCCUCAUCACCACCUACAGCAGCAGGACUCCCCUCACCACACCUUAACUUGGUAUAUCCUGUAGCUCCAGAACCUAAUGUUAACUUGCUAGGCAUCCAGUUUCUCUGGGUGCAGUGUCUUCAUCAGGUGAAGUGACUGCUCGGGGAUGCCAGGAAAUCAGGCGAACACUUGAGUGCCAGGUAUGAGAGACCUAAGACACUGCCCUGCCCUGGAGGCACUGUCUACUGAGGAAAUCAAGAGACCAUAAUAAGGUGACAGCCAGGACAGUGCCUAUCCAUUUGGAGGAGCAGUUGCGGAAAACAUCACAGAGGAUGCCAUCUUUAGCAGGGCUUUGAAAUCCACCGAAGACCUCAGCUGCCAAGCUUCCCUGCUGUGGGCAGCUGGGAAGGCCUGUUCAAGCAGUCCUGACUGACUCUGAGCACGGUCAGUUUGAUGCCACCUUUCCCAUGACGCCAAGCUUAACAAUGCAUCUCCCUUCCUAUGCUGUGAACUGGCUCCUGGAGGACAGGGACACUCCUGUGCUUUCCAUGCUAGUGCCUUGGAAAAACAGGAUCAGAACAUACGUGGGCAAACACUAGAAGUCAUCUCUUCCUUCCUGACUCUCACAGCAGCAGCAGCUACUCCUUCCUGAUUCUGAAUUCUCCACCUGACCCAGCGUUUCCACUCCUGCCUCCCCCAGUUCUCACCAUGAGGCUGCAGGCUCUCAUUGGUAAAAGGCCGAUUGAUCACCUCCUUG
This 767-nucleotide long non-coding RNA is filed under the name Homo sapiens (human). RNAcentral's name for it is "HSALNT0385245". The record is from RNAcentral. Lineage: Eukaryota; Metazoa; Chordata; Mammalia; Primates; Hominidae.